Long non-coding RNA from Oncorhynchus tshawytscha (Chinook salmon), 518 nucleotides. NCBI's taxonomy places the organism in Eukaryota, Metazoa, Chordata, Actinopteri, Salmoniformes, Salmonidae. The record is from Ensembl.
GUGGUUCCUGGGUCGCUGGUAUGCCUGGUUCCCUGGGGAAGAACAGUUUAAACUGGGUGAACAAUCUACCAGCUCCAGCUGGGUAGACCAUCUACCAGCUCCAGCUGGCUAGUGAUAUGAUGGCAUGAAUGUUGACCCACCCCUCUUCCCCGUCUCAUCGACGGCCAACCGGCGUACACGGUGAGGCGCCUCCUGAAGGUUUAACUGCGGGGCAGGGGAUUCCAGUACCUGGUUGAAUGGGAGGGUUAUGGCCCGGAGGAGAGGGGCUGGCUCCCCGCUAGGGACAUCCUGGACCCAGGCCUCAUCGCUGAGUUCAACGCAGGCACCCCGGUAUGCAUCCAGUUCCUGUCUUCUAGCAUUCCUGGUUUUUGACCAUUCUGCCUGCCCUGACCCUGAGCCUGCCUGCCGUUCUGUACCUUGUCACUCCACCCUGGAUUACCAACCUCUGCCUGCCCUGACCUUGAGCCUGCCGUUCUGUACCUUUUGUCACCACCCUGGAUUACUGACCUCUGCCUGCC